Molecule: ribosomal RNA, 93 nt
Filed under: Lactuca sativa (garden lettuce)
Lineage: Eukaryota; Viridiplantae; Streptophyta; Magnoliopsida; Asterales; Asteraceae
Description: partial 5.8S ribosomal RNA
Rfam family: 5.8S ribosomal RNA
About the family: 5.8S ribosomal RNA (5.8S rRNA) is a component of the large subunit of the eukaryotic ribosome. It is transcribed by RNA polymerase I as part of the 45S precursor that also contains 18S and 28S rRNA.
Source: RNAcentral
UUUGUGAAUUGCAGAAUCCCGUGAACCAUCGAGUUUUUGAACGCAAGUUGCGCCCGAAGCCAUCCGGCUGAGGGCACGCCUGCCUGGGCGUCA